CGCGAUUCUGCCCCAGAGAGUGCAUUUGGUAAGGUGCAAUCAGCGCUGAUAAAUUAUCUGUGGAUUUUUCUGAACCCCAGGAACGGCAGUUUUUCUUAUUGUUAAAGCCAUUUAAAUGAAUGAAUGACAUGAUGAGUUGAUGAAUAAAUUCAUUGUUUUCUCUUGCCUUAUUCAUUGUUCCUUUGUGAAACUACCCACGAUGAAUCCCCAAAGACUCAGUUACAAAUUUUUUACCUGUAAAAUCCUACUCUGAAUUUUGGCUCCUGUAAAUUGAGAUUUGUAAG
Non-coding RNA from Pelobates cultripes (western spadefoot toad), 284 nucleotides. The record is from the annotation of a GenBank genome assembly. NCBI's taxonomy places the organism in Eukaryota, Metazoa, Chordata, Amphibia, Anura, Pelobatidae.